Molecule: ribosomal RNA, 432 nt
Filed under: uncultured bacterium
Lineage: Bacteria
Description: partial 16S ribosomal RNA
Rfam family: Bacterial small subunit ribosomal RNA
Source: RNAcentral
ACGAACGCUGGCGGCAGGCCUAACCCAUGCAAGUCGAGCGCGCCCUUCGGGGUGAGCGGCGGACGGGUGAGUAACGCGUGGGAACGUGCCCUUUUCUACGGAAUAGCCUCGGGAAACUGAGAGUAAUACCGUAUACGCCCUUUGGGGGAAAGAUUUAUCGGAAAAGGAUCGGCCCGCGUUGGAUUAGGUAGUUGGUGGGGUAAUGGCCUACCAAGCCGACGAUCCAUAGCUGGUUUGGGAGGAUGAUCAGCCACACUGGGACUGAGACACGGCCCAGACUCCUACGGGAGGCAGCAGUGGGGAAUCUUAGACAAUGGGGGCAACCCUGAUCUAGCCAUGCCGCGUGAGUGAUGAAGGCCUUAGGGUUGUAAAGCUCUUUCAGCUGGGAAGAUAAUGACGGUACCAGCAGAAGAAGCCCCGGCUAACUCCGUG